Pogoniulus pusillus (Red-fronted tinkerbird) is the source of this 5088-nucleotide long non-coding RNA. RefSeq lists it as uncharacterized. The record is from RefSeq and is a predicted model, not a curated record. The transcript is spliced from 3 exons. Lineage: Eukaryota; Metazoa; Chordata; Aves; Piciformes; Lybiidae.
AUUUACAAAGCAAGUGGUCCCUUAACAAUCUGUAACACUGUUGCCAGCCCAAGGAUUAUGCCACUUGGCUAUCUAGUUUAUACAGACAGAUGAGGCAGCUGAAAAAAAUGUUUGAGAUAAGAGUAAAGAUAACCAGGGAAGGAGAAAACAUAAUUAAAUGCUUUUUGGGAAAAGUUCCAACAACACAGAGCAGAACACUAACAUCCACUGCAGUAUUUCUGCAGCAGAAAUGGGUAUGACGCUUUUCACCGACUGAUUUGUGAGCAAUGUAUUAGAUUUACUGGAAACAAAGGAGACAUCAUUGUGUUAACAAGGGAGAGGGGAACCAUCAUAUUGAGGAGAGAAAAAGAACAGAAUACUGAGAGUACAGAGCAUCUAGAUUAUGAGAAUCUUUAGAAACUACAUCAAUGAGCCGUAGCAAAUGUUACAAAGCCCAAAGAGAGGCCAUGCAGGGUCUGUUUCUUCAGACUGGUGAAGAGGACAAAUAUGCACUCUCUAGGCGGUGUGACCUGUGAGGAAGAUUUUUGCAAUUUAGAUUCCAGUUUUAAUUCUCCAGAAUAUUUUUGGAAAAAUAUCAAAUGCCUUCAUGACCCUAAGGACAGGGCUCAUAACAAUGAAACUUACCCUAGCUAGAAAGUAAUACACAGGAUAUCCAGAAAAACAACCUAGAUUUCUAUCCACCAAAACUUGCUCAUACUUCCUACAGCAGAAGUUUGCCUCUUUUCAAAGUUCUUAUGCCAAGCUACUGCCUUGCACUUCUUCAUAAAGCAAAACGGAGACCAUAGUCUCAGUACACAGUGAGUUUAUAAUCUAGUUUAAAUUGCACAUCAUAAGAGUAGAAUUUUAAAUACCAUGAAACACCAUCCUUUUCCUGCCUUACAAAAGGUAGUCCAGAUAUGAACCACCGCAAGGACAACCUCUGAAGACAGACAGAUGGCUGCUGGCACUGCUGAAUGCUCUACCUUCUCCAGUAAGGUAGUGGAUUUGCUGGAAAGUUUUGCUGCUAUAAAUUUUAUUGACUUUCAGUUUCUGAUAACACUAAGUGAAAGCACACUGAAUUGUGGCAUUGUUCCAUGAAAGCCUAUUUUAUUCUGACAGCCAAACCCUUCAGUUUGCUGAGUCACAGAAAACUUGCACCAAUGAAUCUGUGUAAAUGAAAAGCACCUUUUGUCAAUGACCAAAUUGCGAUGUCACUUCGACCUGACUUCAGUUUUUUCUCUGUCCCUCCUAAAGGGAAUGUUAACAGAAUACAGCUUAGAGAGAAAAAUAUUCGUUCUGCAUGUGCAGGUGUUAGAAAACCCUCUAGUUUGCACAGUAUGUAACUAUUCCUCAAUUUCUCUAGUGACUAUGAUGAGACAAAUAAAACAGGCACAGGAAUAAUAUCAUUUAAUUCCAUUGGUUCGUGUUGCACUGUCACAGAUCACACUGCUUCUCUGUCAGUAUGUUUUGGUGAUAUGAAGAAAAUGUAGAAUACAGCUCUUUUUAAAGUCUGGUUCCCUUUCUGCUUGCAGCACUUUGAUAUACUUAUGACAGAGGGUGACCCUUAUUAUAUUCUCCAGUAGGAAUAGUGUCCUGAGAUUUCCCAGAGCCCAGGAUACAAUGCUUAAUACACAGGCAAAUUGCAGAAAGGUCAGUAUGCUCAAUGCACAUCAGUAGCAUUUCUGCUGCUGCUAUCUUUGCCAAGAUUCUAGCAAAUUCAAAUAAGAAAAUGAAAUUUGAUGAGUGUUUAUCUGCAGUUCUAGCUCAGCAUCCUGAAAAAUAGUCAUCAUUGCUGACUUUUAUUUAUCCAUUUGUGUGGGACAGUCCAUAUUAGUUUAAACAGGCUUGCAUCUGAGUGUUUCCACAUAUGCAGAUUUGCCCCAUACAUCUUUUAAGCCAGCUAGAAACUACAACUAGGACUAUGCUGAUUUUAGAAUUACUUUUACAUUUGUGCAAAUCGAGGUUUUACUGAGUCUGACUCCUCACCUUCAUCCCAGCCAGAGCUAAACACAGCGUAAAAACUGCCUUAGGAUUCCAGCAUAAAUAGAGCUCAGAGCUUUAUGCCUGAGUCCUAAAAAGCUUCUCUGGUAACCUGCUACAAAUUCGAGCUUUGCACUUCUUCUUUUGUCUCUGGAGGUCAAACUCUCAUUACCUCACCGUGUUACCACUGACCUAGCCUUCCAUCUCAGAGCUCAUUUCACAAGAACACUGGAUUACACCAUCUCUCCUUUUUGUUUAGUAGACCUUAGUAAUUACUCUCAAAUAUUAGGUGACUCUAUAAAUCUACAUAAACAAUCUCUAAUGCUAUGCAAAGUCUGUUUACUUUCACCAGAAAAUGUAACCUUAAUUUGGAAGGAAAUGCACAGCCAAGAGUACCAGCCUUUCAGAUUUGCCUAUCAUGCAGAAAACUGUCUUUUAUUCAGACAGAAGCAGUGCCAAGAGAACUUCAAACACAUGAAAGUGCUCAAAGCUUGACAAGGAUCAGAGGGUUUCUUUGAGUGUGUAAGAAAAUUAACUUAUCUUUCUUGUAUAGGGUUAGACUGAUAUUUUAGAGAUGAGAAAGUGUGUGCUGUGCAUGUGAACUGUCUCAUUACUCUGGAUGCUACAUUUCCAUUUAUAUUAUAGCAUCAGAACAGAUUACUGACUAACUUAAAAAUAAUAUUCAGAAAGGUUUUAUGAGGUAAGAGUAUUAUGAUCUGAUAGCAAACUGUUUUUUUUCUGGUUUGUUUUCUGUCUACAUCAUACUAAGCAUCUAACAAGACUAGAGUGUAAGUGGGAGCAGCUGGUAACAGCUGCAGAUGUAAUCCAAUAGUAGCAGUGGUGAACUGCAUAAUCAAAUGAGAGAAAGAGGUGAUGAAGCCCUUGCCUGCCUCUGGAAGUGGGAGUCUGCCUGUGCACACUUACUCAUAUAACCAAACUUUGUAGAAAAGGUUUCAUUCAGCUUCAUCAGCUCUGGCUAUCACCAGGCUAGCAGAAACUGUCCUGGCAGAAAAGACUCUCUUUACCUAGAACACAAAGCCACUUCCUCAGAGAAGUGCAGACAGACACAGGAACUGGCAGACACUAAAGACUACACAUGAAUGAACUCCGGGACAAUUGUCACAGCUUGCUGGACAUGAGGAGGAGAUUUCAGCUGGGAGCUUGUCCUGGAAUGGACACCCUGGCACACUUUUCCAGUGAGCGCGUUGCACAAAAAGUGGAACAGACACAGGCAAAAAGCAAAGAGGUUAAAACAUCUGGAUCCUCACAGAUUAUAAGUGGUAUCUGCAGUUUCACCAGAAGCUAUCAGACAGCAACGUGCAGACUGGGGCUAAAGCUGUAAGCCGGUCAGACUGCAGCAUUCACAAAGCGACUCAUCUGCAGCAGAGAUAUCACGGGGAUUCAAAGGCAAAUCACUCUGCACUCUGCCAAGGGCUGUCCUGCUGUCUGUCAAAGGCCAGCCACUGGAGGCAGUUCCAGUGAAGUCUUUUGCCUAGUGAGGAUACAAAAGAUUCCGAGCACUGCACUCAGCUCUCAGCGGGAUCCUCGUAGAGACCACCUAGAAGGGCCUAACUUUGGAGUCAGUCUGGUGACAGGAGUUGACUGCACUGCGCUUACAUUCAUGUCUCCCUAGGCUUGGCAGAGUAGAAAUAUUCUUUCGUUGGAAGGGUUUUGUGGACUACAAUUAAGGAAGCCUCCAAAAUACAAUAGAAACCAUGAAGAGAGGGGUAAGUAAAAACUAUCCACUCCAGAGAAAAGAUAUAUUCAGCAAACAGUGUUGUCUAUAAUGUGAUUUUUUAUUGUUCUGAAAAGUUAUGUUUUCUUUCAGAAGGCAUGGGUGUGGGAAGGGGAAAUCACAUGGUCAUUAUAAACAUUUGGACCUGAUACAAUACUUGCAUGUUGUUUCCUCUGGGAACAUAAUAGAAUAAAGUUUCAUUAAAUAAGAUGAACACAGGAAAUAUCCAGCAAGAAAAAUCCUUGUCUCUCAGGUGUAUAUAAAAGCAUGGAUAGGUGAACUUCUGUGCCUGUCUCUCUCAACUACUGUCAAAAAGAUCCUACCAAUUGUUUUACCUGAUUCUUUGCAGAGGUAACAUGAUUAGCAAGUAGCAAGAAGUAUCACUGCAGAGAUAAUAAGAGUAGCAAGACCAGAGUGUGACGUUUUAGGAGUUUUAUAUUUUUUACACUAAAAUAAAUUAAAAUACUAAAAGUAUGAAUAUAAUAAUCUAAGGACACCAUCAGCCUGAAAGGUCUUUGUUUAUGACCAUACUCACAUAUAAAAAAAUUGUUGUCUCCAACAACAGCUUUUCCAGUGAUUUAUCUCUUUCAAUCUCAGUGAAACCUGGCCUGCACCUUGUAUGUACAAAAAAUAUUUACCUAGUCUGCAGAGAGUUUUAAAAUAUGUGAGCUAGUUGGUUCUUGGAAGCCUCAUUUUUUUCCCUUCCCUAUAAAUGCUUGGGAACAUUAUGCACUUUACAAACAUUAUGCCAAAAACAAACAAAGGAAACUAGGGGGGGAAAGCACUUUUUAGAAUGGAGAGGAGAAAAACUGCAGUUGUUCUAAAGUCCUUUCUAUUUCUUUUAAAUAAUAGUUAUACUAUCAAAUAAUUUUCUCACUUGUAAUGCUUAAAUACUCUUCAAUGUACACAUAUGUGAAGUGUAUUCUGGACUGCAGCAUUUUCCAACAGUUGCAUGAAUUAGCUUUCAGAUGUGAUUAAGCUGUUCUCUGGACUCCAGAAAUAAACUCCUCAAGCAAAAUUACAUAUCUUUCAUCAAACAAUAAAUAGCAAGAGUGGAAGCACUUCCUUCUUACAGAGCUGCAAAUACUUUCAACAACUACUUGUCAUCAAUACAUGGGCUAUAUAUAUCAUGCAAAGAGAAACCAAUUACUCAUGUUAUCAUCAGUUUAUGUGGUGAAGAGAAAGCUGUGUGCCUCUGUAGUUGUGACGAAUUAAAUUACCUUAAAUUGUCUACUUGCUUGAAAUGCACAGCUACAUCUCCCACUGAAUGCCUUAUGUGAUAGCUUGAACAUUUGCAUCUGUGAGCUUGUUGGACAUGGCUCACACCAGCCAGAUUUAUCUAAGAUGACUCCUCAUGAUGAAUGGGGGAAAGAGUAUCUUGGAGUGUACUGCCC